UGCAUGCAUCAUAUCAAACAUUAUUGACUUAUUGUCCUGAAGUAAAUUAAUGAUCAAAUAAUUUUUUAAUUGUAGCUACUAAAAGACAUAGAAAUAAAAGAAAUAACAAAGUCCAUAGCAUGAUUUCUAACAUUCUCCGCAGUCACAUUGGUGAUUAGUACAUUUUUGAAAUUUGCACGAAUCAAAACAACUAUUUUUGCAAUCACUAUUUUUAAAGCAACUCCCAAAAUAUUGAUUUGGUUGGGCCAGCUUUGGUUGACAUGAUGAUCCAGCACAAUCUUGCACAUAUCGUCCAGGUUUCAUUAGUUCCCUUGCAUUUGAUAUACAGACACCUAUAAAACAGAAUUUAGUAUAUGCACUUUCAUUCCAAAUAUCAAACUAGUUAGGCAUCACACACACGCAUAUAUAUAUAUAUAUAGAGAGAGAGAGAGAAAGAAACAAACAUGAAAGGAGUGCGACCAGAACAAUAAGCAAUGUUGUGUUUGAUACUGUCAUGUCUUUUACAAUUUGUACUCGAUGUUUAUGUUUUAUGAUUGUGCUUUGAGAUUUUUUAUAUGUCUUAGUGUCUAUUUAUAUAAUGUUACGAGGCAUAGAAAUGGUAGGUAACAUAUACAAUCUCUUCUCUGAGUAAUAAGUUGUAACCAAUACAUGAACAAUAGAGAAGAAGAAGAAUCAAAGGAAUCAAAGAAAAUGGAAAGGAACAAAACAAGAAUAAAAUCCAUAGUAUAGACUCAAAUUUACACAAAAGUCAACCAUUUCCACAAAUUGUACAAUUUUUUAAAAAACAUGUUUAAUUAUGUCUCUAAAUUUGGUGAUAAAUAUUUUUUUACAUAUAUUUAAGUAUAAAGUAAUCGCUUAUAGUUUAAUUUUCUAAUAUAACUGUAUUUAAAUUAGUUUAAUUUAAUAAUUUUACUUUUUUCAUUUUCCUAAAUAAUAAUUAUUAUAUUGCUAUAUUUAUUUUUUAAAUGAAAUUUUACUUUUGUUAUUUUUAGUUAAAAAAUUAACUUAUAAAAUUAUUUAUUAAACCUAAUGAAUUGAAUGCUAAACACUUAAUUAAAUUGUUUUAUCACAUUUAAAUUUUAAAUACGCUCAAUAAUUUAGAGAUUUGAGUAAGUUUAUUAUUACAUUGAAUAUUAAACUUAAAUAAAACUUUAUUUAUUUAAAUAUUCGAAUAUAUAUAUUUAUAUGAUUAUAUAAAUAUGAUUAAAAUGUAAAUAUCUAUAACAAAUUAAUUUAUGAUAACCACACAUAAAAUAACUUUUGGGAAGUAAUAUUAUAUAAUUUAUAAAUAAUAUGGUAAUAAUACAAUUUUAUAAAAGUAAUAUUAUAUUAUUUGAAAUAUAUAUUUUUUGUAAAAAUAGACAACUUUUAAAAAUAUGAAAUGCAUUUUAUUUUGCAAAAAAAUAUUAUUUGCAGAUUUUAAAAUAUCAACAAAUGCUAUAAUAUAAAAGGGUUUUUUCAAAUAUGACCCAAAGCAAAAAGUCUUAUGCAAAAGCAAUCGAUGAUUUUUUUUGAAAUUUUUAUUUGUCCUACUCAAACCUAAAAAUUUGAAUUAUUCACGAAAAUGUGAUUAUAUUAAAAAUGAGUGUUUUACUCUAUCAUCUUCAUCUUCAUCUUCAUCAAGUAUUUAUAAUAUUGUCAAUUGCCAUACCACACUAACCACCAUGAACAACCAAUUUGAAACUCUUAAUGAACCUAGAAAAUCAAUUUUCACAGCUCUUAUCUCAUUCAUAUGCACAUAAACUAUGAGUCCGACUGGUAAGGACUUUCCCUUUAGGCUUUGGCUUUAUCAUUAUGGCUGUAGAGAAUUUGGAGGUUAAGACUUUGGCUGUUAGUUUAAGUUUUAUUAAAAUAAAAUUGGUAGUUAAAAUUAUAGAAGUAUGAAAUAAUAUUUAAAAUAUUGUAUUUAAAAAGUAAAAUUAUACUACUAUUAAUAGUUUAAAUAUAUAUAUAUAUAUGAUUGUAAAAGUAGUACAAUAUGGAUCUCAAAUGAACAAGAAAAAAAAUUCAAUGAUUAAUUUGUCGAUUAUAAAUUUUAAUAAAAUUGUUACAAAUUUAGAUAAGUGAUUUAGUUACAAAGAGAAAAAGAAAAAAAAAUAUUUUUAGUGAAAAACAAAAAGAAAGAAAAAAAGUUGCAAAAGUCACGUAUGGCUUUAGAAAAAACAACACAAAGAGAAGAGAGAAAUUUAUAAUGACUUUAUAGAAUUUAGAAUGAUUAUUUUUUAAAAUAACCUUAUUGGUAAAAAAUAACUUUAGAGACUUUCUAAUCCCAGAAAGCCCUCAAAGCCCUCAAAGCCUUAACACCAAUCGGACCCUAUAUCUAUUUCACUUUCUCUAUACAUUCAUCCAAAAAAUCUAAGAUUUUGAUUCCAAACUUUGCAAAGUUCAUAGAGCAAUUCAAGCUCAUGAUUCUUGCUCAAGAACAAGUGGGUAACUUUCACUAAAAAGUUAUGUGUGCUUAGAGAAGCUAAACAUGAACCUCACCGGGAUAAAAAUGUUUUUUGAAUUUUUUUAAGAUUUGUUUUGCCGAGAAGACUUCUAUGAAAGUCUUAAGGUCAAUGCAUAUGUUAGUUUUGAAAAUGACUUUCGGUGUGUUUUUAAAGACUAUUUCUCUCGAAAUUUUCAACUUUUCUUUGUUAGCAAAAAUAUGAGAAACUUCUCGAUUAAACAGGUUAGUUAUGCAAUUGAACGAAUUGUGUCAGAAAUUUGACUUUCUAUAGAUGACUUCCCGUGGAAAUCUUAUGUCGGAAAACUCUUUGGAAGUCUUCUCAACUGUCGAUGGAAGUUUAGGUUGGAGGAUAAAAGUGGUUAGUAUAACCCUAAAAAGUGGUAUUAUAAAUGUGAUAUUUUAAGCAAUUUUUCAUGUGGAACUUGUUAUGUUUACUCAAAAAAAAAUAUUUAUAGUGUGUAAAAUUUCGAAAUAUAAUAUUUGGCUAACCAAGUUAUGCGGAUCAGAUCAUCCAAUGUAAGAAUACAUAAUUACAAAUAUCAGGAUUUUUUUGGAUACCUGAAGUAAUCAAUCUGGUUAACAAAAGUAAAAUUUGUGCAAGGAACUUAAUUGUCCACUCAUCUUUUAUUAAAUUAGAGUCAGUAUGGUUAGUUUAGAUAUCCAAAAUAUAUGCACCUUACCUCUACACAAUAUCUUUAAAACAAACAAAAACAUAUUUCUUAAACGAAGCAAAAGUAAAUUGAGAAACAAGAAAGUGCAUGCAUCAUAUCAAACAUUAUUGACUUCUUGUCCUGAAGUAAAUUAAUGAUCAAAUAAUUUUAUAAUUGUAGCUACUAAAAGACAUAGAAAUAAAAGAAAUAACAAAGUCCAUAGCAUGAUUUCUAACAUUCUCCGCAGUCACAUUGGUGAUUAGUACAUUUUUGAAAUUUGCACGAAUCAAAACAACUAUUUUUGCAAUCACUAUUUUUAAAGCAACUCCCAAAAUAUUGAUUUGGUUGGGCCAGCUUUGGUUGACAUGAUGAUCCAGCACAAUCUUGCACAUAUCGUCCAGGUUUCAUUAGUUCCCUUGCAUUUGAUAUACAGACACCUAUAAAACAGAAUUUAGUAUAUGCACUUUCAUUCCAAAUAUCAAACUAGUUAGGCAUCACACACACGCAUAUAUACAUAGAGAGAGAGAGAGAGAGAGAGAGAGAGAGA
RNAcentral lists this long non-coding RNA (3646 nucleotides) under Brassica napus (rape). RNAcentral describes it as "long non-coding RNA (BNAP_LNC022673)". Lineage: Eukaryota; Viridiplantae; Streptophyta; Magnoliopsida; Brassicales; Brassicaceae. The record is from RNAcentral.